CUACGGGUGGCUGCAGUCGAGAAUAGUCUACAAUGGACGAAAGUCUGAUAGUGCGACGCCGCGUGGAUGAAGAAGCAUUUCGGUGUGUAAAGUCCUUUUCUGUGUGAGCAAUGUUUUCCAGGUUAAUAGCUUGGAGAAAGCGAUAUUAACACAGGAAUAAGCUCCGGCUAACUCCGUGCCAGCAGCCGCGGUAACACGGGGGGAGCAAGCGUUGUCCGGAAUUACUAGGCGUAAAGGGUAAGUAGGCGGAAUUGUAAGUCAGAUGUUAAAGGCACCGGCUCAACCGGUGUAUGGCAUUUGAUACUGUAAUUCUAGAGUAAGGUGGGGGAAGACGGAAUUCCUGGUGUAGCGGUGGAAUGCGCAGAUAUCAGGAGGAACACCAGAGGCGCAGGCGGUCUUCUAUACCAUUACUGACGCUCAAUUACGAAGGUGUGGGUAUCAAACAGGAUUAGAUACCCUAGUAGUC
RNAcentral lists this ribosomal RNA (466 nucleotides) under uncultured bacterium. RNAcentral describes it as "partial 16S ribosomal RNA". It matches the Rfam family "Bacterial small subunit ribosomal RNA", at positions 339 to 795 of the family's 1533-position model. The record is from RNAcentral.